Molecule: long non-coding RNA, 7897 nt
Filed under: Sorghum bicolor (sorghum)
Lineage: Eukaryota; Viridiplantae; Streptophyta; Magnoliopsida; Poales; Poaceae
Description: long non-coding RNA (SBIC_LNC007695)
Source: RNAcentral
GCUAGUACUGCCAAGAUCAGUUUCUACAUCAAAGGGAGGAAGGAGACAUUUUUCUUCAAGAACAAGACUACACAAAUUCCAGAUCAAUCCAGACAUGAGUCAAGGAAGAGGACCAACAGGAGGAACAGGAACAAGCAAGUAUGGACCGAGUCAGCUAAGAUGGUCACUGCAGUUCAUGGAGGCCAAGAUCACCAACUUAUGUCACCGCUUUUGACCAAGAAGGACGACCCAGGAAUGCCAAGCAUCUACUGCUCCAUAAAUGGAUACAACUUCUACAAGGCAACUUGUGACACCGGAUCGGGCGUCAACAUAAUGGCCGCAGUCACCUAUCGGCUCUUGUUCGGAACCAUGCCCCUACGACCAACAUACAUUCAGCUCCAGAUGGCAGAUCAGACAUUUCGAGAAGUUAAAGGAAUAGUAACUGAUGUCCCAGUCAAAAUAGACGAUCAUUUUGUCUACACAGACUUUCAAGUUAUUGACAUGGGAGAAGACGAGUACGAUCCACCCAUCAUCCUUGGAAGACCGUUCCUCAGCACCGUUAAAGCAAUCAUCUACAUUGGAACCGGAGAAGUCCAUAUGCACUUCCCCUCAGAGAAGGUACGCCGUUAUUUUCCUGACCCUAACUAUAUCGUUGAAGAAUCUAAGCAGGUAAGGAAAAGACGCAACCGCAACCAGAGGAGGCAGAUCAUCAAGGACGGAUGGGCAGACUAUGAAGGAGAAGUUGUAAGGUCAGAAGACGUAGGGUUUAAACAGAAUUAUCCAGAGGAGACGGAAGCACCAAGUCAGGUAUGGAAAAUGAAGAUAACUAUACAUGAAGAGGAGGCACUGCCGGAAGUACCGACUCCGCCAACCAACGAACCUCAGGACAAUUGAAAAAAUGGAGAGUCCCGUUCGGAGGACUUAAAAACACCGAACGCCUUGCCAAGAGGUAAAAUUGGUAGUUAUCCUUUCCCUUUCAAUUAUUUCAAAUAGUUUACUUAGUUAAUUAUAUUCGUAUUAUCUUAAAAAGAAAAUAAAAAUAUGAAAAACAGUAAGCCCCAUGUGAGUAUGCGAGUGGCAUAAAACCCAUAAGUACAUUCACUGUGGUGGCAUAAAAAUAAAAUAAAUAUUUUUCUGCUUUAUAAAAUGAAAAUAUAAAAAUAGGGAGUAAUAAUUAUUAAGGAGUCUCAACAUGAUAAAGGCUAGAUAUUUAUGCUAACACUUAAUCAGUUCCACAAGCUUUGUUGUCUAUUUGAGCUCCACAGAAUUUAAGAAUCAAGAAGACUAGCAGACGGAGGACAUUCUAAUCGCUGUCAGAAUGCUGCUGACUUUCAAAUACACCUCUGCCGCCUUCUAGCUACAUCAAGAAAAAUUACGUCAAAAUUCAGCUUGGGGGAGAGCACCCCCAUUUAUCUCGAUAAGUAUUUCUAUCUAUCUUUAUACUUAUAUUAUAUUAGAAUAUUAAAAUACAUAAACUAUGAAAAAUCAAAUAAGGAUUUUAUGGUUAUAUAUAUAUAUCUUUUGCUUAGUGCGAUUAAUAAAUAAAUAAAUAAAGUGGCUAUGCUAAUCUGUAUCUAAAUAAAACUUAAGCAUGGAUAUGAUGAAUAGUUGCUCUGCCUAAUUUGUAUAUUUUAAGUUCUCUCUCAAGUUUAGACAUAACUGUUAUAAUUUAAAGCUUGCUCUAGACCUAAACUUGUGGGAUGAAAACUUGAUCUGAAGUCUAAGUUGUUAACUGAUAUGAUAUGGGAAGGUUGAGCUGCUGUUUAUCUGUACCUAGAGAUGCUAGAAUUCUGGAGAAUUUUAUCUUUGAAAAUCUUUAAAAUGUUGCAUGAUGAGUUCCUGUAUGAUGAGAGUUUAAAUUCCUACCACAGCCAUAUAUACAUGCUUGCUAGACUUUGAGCCACACAUUUAAUAUUUACUGCUUAUGAGCAUUGAGUGUGGUCAAGCUGUGUAGACCCUUAGGAGCUUGUCAUGUGGUUAAAUCAAGAUUUCACUUGCACGUUCACUCAUAUAUGCUACUUCUACUCCGGAAGUACCAUCCACAUAUAUCCACCCAUUUCCAUCUCCAGGACCACCCAAAAAUAUUCUACUCCUAAUCCGGGAGAGAAUAGCCAAAAAUAUUUUUGUUUUUCCCUUGUGAAAUAAAUGCUCAAGUUAUCUCGUUACUACCACUUGCUAUAUUAUCUCAAGAGAUGAGUGCUCUAAAAAAAAGAAGAAAAAAAAAUAAUAAAUACGAGAAAAUAAAAAGGAGCAAGUGCUCGGAACCUUGAAAGAAAAGAAAAAGUGAGACGAGAGAUAAAAAUGGACAAGUGUCCGACAGUAGAAUUAGGGGUACAAGAUACCCACCUGAGAGAAAAGAAAAAAAAUAUAGAGCAUCUCUUUCUCCUCAUAAAGUUUCAAAAAGCAAGGAAGGUAUGUAUCCCCUCAAAAGAGCAAAAGUAGAAUUAGACUUCCACCAUUGUUAUCACCAUCAUCACCAUACACCAUUCAUUCGCCACACAUGCACAUCUUGAUUUGGCUUAUUGAUUUGUUUCUUUGGAUCCAUAGUUUGACUAUGCAAUACAUGUCUUGUGAGUAUGUAUACUUUAUCUCCCACCUAUGAGCUCCAGAUAUUAAAGCCUUAUUAGAGUAGGGUAAGAGAGAAGGCAAUGUCACUAUGCUUAAUACCAUAAAUACUACAUAUCUUGAGAGAAGGCAUAUACCAUCACUGCCUUGGUAAGGAUCCAUAAAUACCACAAAAGAGAGAUCUGAGAGAAUCAUACAAGGAAUCUCUGAGUUUUAUUUGAAAAUUUGCAAAAACCCCAGAGCUAUAGCUGAUCAAGAAUAAGAGACAUGGCACUUGGCUAGACUGUUCUAUCUUUUAACCACUCAAGACAGAAGUGACGGUUACAGGUCCCAUGGUGAAAGGUAAAGUAAGUAAGUUUUAAGUCUUGACAGUUUACUCUAACUCAGAGAUGAGAUCUUAUUUAAAAAGCAUGUGUACCGUCAAUUCUUUUUAAAAUAUUGCAACAACUUAUGAUCCAUAGCUGAGUCUAUCCUUGCUCAGGGACGAGCAAGAGGUAAGCUUGGGGGAGUUUGUUGAUGGUCCUUAAGUAUCAAAUUUAAUUAUUAAAUAAAUAAACAAAAGGAUCCAAAUGAAAUCAACAUCUAGACUUAGGGUUUCAUCUGAGAGAAUUCCACGAGUUUUGGUGUUUGUCUAUUUCUGCAGGGGGUUAUGAGGAAAUACGGAAGAAAGGCCCACAUGUCAGGAUUACAUAGAGAUAUUAAUGUGCUGCGCAAUUAUCUUACAUCUAGAAGACUCCAGAAGCCACGAGACCGAAGCGGAGGCGAAACGGGGCCUGACCCUGGGUGCCCGCCCAGGUGAUCAGGGCGCCCGCCCACCUCCUGAGUCCAAUCAGGACUCUGCUUCGCGGGAGAUCUCCACCGACCUAAAGGAUGAAUCUAAACCAUACAAUCUAUGUCGGUUUGAUCCAACGGCCCAUAUUCACUUGAAGGGACUAUAAAACCAGACCCCCUGGCCCCUGGAGGAGAGAGCCUCUCAACCCUAAUUCAUUGUUCUUCAAGGGAGAUGAAGCCUCUGAUCAAGAUUAGAGCCACCACAUCAAUUAGAUAUCUAGAUUAGCAUAGCUACAUAGGAUUAGAGCUAGAAGGAGUCAAUCUUCGAUUGGUUUCCGGAUCUGUCAGGAGGAUUCUUGGUAAUUCUCUAAUUGUGCUUCUAAUUACUUUCUAAUUAUCUUUGUUCUUCAAUAUUAUGAAUAUGACUUUGUUCUACUUCAAUAUAUUGCUUAUGACUUUGCUCUACUUGCUUAUAUUCAAGAUUAUAUUGUUCUUAGUUUAUCAUAGUUAUGUACUUGGCUUAGUUAGAUUGGAUCUAUAUACAUGUUUAGGAUCGUAUAGCGUUUAUCCAUCGGAUCCAUGGGUAAAUGAUAGAUAUUGUGUAGGCGUGGUGCUUAUACCGUAUUUAUCUGCGAUUGUACCCAAUAUGCCAGAUCGUGGGGUGGUUCGUGAUAGUGACAGCUUCAUUGAUUCUUAUAUAGUCCCCCUCUCGUGUAUUGGGCUGGCAGAGCAACAUUAUUACAGGAGAGUGAUUGCUAUGUUUCUCAUAUUCCUUGCUAAUAUCACUAUGCAUGGGCGUAGUCUUGUCUCGCAAUGAUUGCUAAGUAUGCUUGCACUAAUUAUGAUAAUGCUAGACUAUAUAGUUGAGAAUAACUUAGGGAAUAUUCUUGUAGUUCGUUCUAAUACCAUGCUAAUGACUUUCUAGAGUAUCUAAUUGAGAUGCUUAUCAUAUUUAUUAUGUGGCUAGAUCAGAUUAGUUAUCCUUGUCACUAUUAUUAUUUCAUAUAUCUUUUAUGUGACACUUAUCCCUGUAUGAAGAGUUAGAUAUAAUGUUCUCAAUUAUACAUGCAAUGAUAGAUGCUCAAUCUCAUAUUCUAUUCUGUAAUCAAUAUUGAUGAUUGCUAAUCCCUUCCCAGUGGUAAAAAUAUAAAUAACGAUACCUGGAAUACUUCCCGCUUAAAAUGCUGCACCGGUAUUAAUCUGUGCGCUUGCAGAUCCCAUUCAUUAUUUAGAGAACUUAGUCUACUUUUGGUAAUGAUGAUAAGAAUACCCAACAAGCAUUUUUGGCGCCGUUGUCGGGGAAGCUUGAUUACUAAUCAGGAAUGGAAUAAAAGAUUUUGAGUUAUCAUUCGCAUCACUAGUACGAUUGAGCUUAUCUAUUCUCUUAUACAGUUUUACCCCGAUAUUUUUCUAUUUUAUCUUAUGCAGUGGAAUGUAUGAAUAGAAGACAUCUUCCAGGAAAUUUUGUUGACAAUCCUGAAGCAUUAUUCAAGAAGACGAGAGCCAAGCUCAAGAAGAGAUCAUCAAUACUUCAGCAAGAAGCUUCAUCCAAUCAAGAAGAUCACCGGAACUUGUGUUCAGAGUUCGAGGCCAUGGCGACUAAAUCAAUCCGCGAGUUCUUAGCUCUCACUACGGACAACAUCCGCACUGGACCUGCUGCAGAGAUCGAUGGCAACUUUGAGCUCAAGCCUGGACUUAUCAACAUGGUGCAAUCCAACCAGUUCUGUGGGAAGGCACAUGAAGAUGCUAGUGCUCAUUUACAACACUUCCUAGAGAUUUGCAACACAUUCACCAUAUCAGGAGUUUUCAAAGAUGCUAUACUACUUCGCCUCUUCCCAUUCUCACUGUUAGGAAGAGCGAAGCAGUGGUUCUACGCUACAAAGGAGAAGAACACUACGUGGGCACUCUGCUCAACAAACUUUCUGGCAAAGUUCUUUCCCAUGGGCAAGACCAAUGCUCUCCGUGGGAAGAUUACAAGUUUUCAGCAACAAAAUGAUGAAUCUGUUCCAGAAGCAUGGGAGCGCUUUCAAGACUACAUCCUAGAAUGUCCCCAUCAUGGAAUGGAGAGUUGGCUAUUGAUGCAGACGUUUUAUUAUGGGCUCGGCAAUAGUGCCCGAGAAACCAUGGAUGCUGCAGCUGGAGGACCAUUCUUAUCACUUACUAUACCACAAGCCAUAGCUCUUGUGGAGAAGAUGGCGUCCAAUCAAAGCUGGAAUGAAGAGAGGACCCAGACACGCAAGAGAGGUGGAGGUAUGCAUCAGCUGAAGGAGGUAGACAUGCUGUCUGCAAAGCUAGACCUGCUCAUGAAGAAGCUCGACGAUAGGGCUGGAGACAAGAAGGAAGUUAUGCACAUCUACGACUCUCACAUGACUUGUGAGGAGUGUGGAGACACUAGACACUCAGGCAACCACUGCCCUGAGAUACUUGAGGAUGUGAACUACAUCAAUAACAACAACAACUACUACAACCGUCCUCAACAAAAUCAUAGUUGGAAUCAACAGAGGCCUAACUACUCAGGUAAUUAUCAAGGUAACAAUUCUUACAACAAUAAUAAUAAUUUUCCACCUUUGAGAGAGUUAGUGUCUAAUCAAGGAAAGCUAAUGGAUAACCUAUCUAAGAAAUUGGCAUCUAAUGAUAAAAUGCUAGAAAAUAUAAAUAAUAGAAUGGAUAAUUUCUCUACUGCCAUCAAGAAUCAAAUUAGCUUUAACAAAAUGAUUGAAUCUCAGUUAAAUCAAAUAGCUGCUGUUGUUCAUGCUACUAACCCCGGUAUACCAUCACAACCGGAAGGAUUAGAAUCUGCAAAUCUUGUAGACAUGUUUGAUGCAGGUAAUAAUUGGAGUAACCCCGUCACUGAAUUCAAUACUGACCUUCUGCCGGUCAAGAGAGGUGAUCCAGGACGCCCCGUCAUCCCGAUCUCCAUCGGCAUGGUGGACGUUCCCGAAGCACUCUGCGACUUUGGCUCCAGUAUCAACAUUAUACCCAGGGUACUCUAUGAAAUAUUCUUUACAUAUCCUUUAUUAGAAACAACCAUGUGUUUGCAGUUUGCAGAUCAGACGAUAACUUUUCCAAAAGGAAUCGUGAAGAACCUUUGCGUCCGAGUUGGUACCUUGUAUGCCCCAGCAUACUUCGUAGUGGUAGAGACCGGAAAUGAUGAGAGAGCACCUAUCAUCUUAGGGAGGCCAUUCUUGAACACCACGAGAGCUAUCAUCUACGCUAGUACUGUCAAGAUCAGUUUCUACAUCAAAGGGAGGAAGGAGACAAUUUUCUUCAAGAACAAGACUACACAAAUUCCAGAUCAAUCCAGACGUGAGUCAAGGAAGAGGACCAACAGGAGGAACAGGAACAAGCAAGUAUGGACCGAGUCAGCUAAGAUGGUCACUGCAGUUCAUGGAGGCCAAGAUCACCAACUUAUGUCACCGCUUUUGACCAAGAAGGACGACCCAGGAAUGCCAAGCAUCUACUGCUCCAUAAAUGGAUACAACUUCUACAAGGCAACUUGUGACACCGGAUCGGGCGUCAACAUAAUGGCCGCAGUCACCUAUCGGCUCUUGUUCGGAACCAAGCCCCUACGACCAACAUACAUUCAGCUCCAGAUGGCAGAUCAGACAUUUCGAGAAGUUAAAGGAAUAGUAACUGAUGUCCUAGUCAAAAUAGACGAUCAUUUUGUCUACACAGACUUUCAAGUUAUUGACAUGGGAGAAGACGAGUACGAUCCACCCAUCAUCCUUGGAAGACCGUUCCUCAGCACCGUUAAAGCAAUCAUCUACAUUGGAACCGGAGAAGUCCAUAUGCACUUCCCCUCAGAGAAGGUACGCCGUUAUUUUCCUGACCCUAACUAUAUCGUUGAAGAAUCUAAGCAGGUAAGGAAAAGACGCAACCGCAACCAGAGGAGGCAGAUCAUCAAGGACGGAUGGGCAGACUAUGAAGGAGAAGUUGUAAGGUCAGAAGACGUAGGGUUUAAACAGAAUUAUCCAGAGGAGACGGAAGCACCAAGUCAGGUAUGGAAAAUGAAGAUAAUUAUACAUGAAGAGGAGGCACUGCCGGAAGUACCGACUCCGCCAACCAACGAACCUCAGGACAAUUGAAAAAAUGGAGAGUCCCGUUCGGAGGACUUAAAAACACCGAACGCCUUGCCAAGAGGUAAAAUUGGUAGUUAUCCUUUCCCUUUCAAUUAUUUCAAAUAGUUUACUUAGUUAAUUAUAUUCGUAUUAUCUUAAAAAGAAAAUAAAAAUAUGAAAAACAGUAAGCCCCAUGUGAGUAUGCGAGUGGCAUAAAACCCAUAAGUACAUUCACUGUGGUGGCAUAAAAAUAAAAUAAAUAUUUUUCUGCUUUAUAAAAUGAAAAUAUAAAAACAGGGAGUAAUAAUUAUUAAGGAGUCUCAACAUGAUAAAGGCUAGAUAUUUAUGCUAACACUUAAUCAGUUCCACAAGCUUUGUUGUCUAUUUGAGCUCCACAGAAUUUAAGAAUCAAGAAGACUAGCAGACGGAGGACAUUCUAAUCGCUGUCAGAAUGCUGCUGACUUUCAAAUACACCUCUGCCGCCUUCUAGCUACAUCAAGAAAAAUUACGUCAAAAUUCAGCUU